CUACGGGUGGCAGCAGUGAGGAAUUUUGCGCAAUGGGGGAAACCCUGACGCAGCAACGCCGCGUGAGCGAAGAAGGCCUUCGGGUCGUAAAGCUCUGUCAAGUGGGAAAAAAAUUCUUUGAUGAACAGUCAAAGGACUUGAUGGUACCACUGGAGGAAGCACCGGCUAACUCCGUGCCAGCAGCCGCGGUAAUACGGAGGGUGCAGGCGUUGUUCGGAAUUACUGGGCGUAAAGAGCGUGUAGGCGGUUUGACAAGUCAGAUGUGAAAGCCCCGGGCUCAACCCGGGAAGUGCAUUUGAAACUGUUUCACUAGAGUAUGGGAGAGGAGAUUGGAAUUCCUGGUGUAGAGGUGAAAUUCGUAGAUAUCAGGAGGAACACCCGUGGCGAAGGCGAUUCUCUGGACCAAUACUGACGCUGAGACGCGAAAGCGUGGGGAGCAAACAGGAUUAGAUACCCUCGUAGUC
RNAcentral lists this ribosomal RNA (464 nucleotides) under uncultured bacterium. RNAcentral's name for it is "partial 16S ribosomal RNA". It matches the Rfam family "Bacterial small subunit ribosomal RNA", at positions 339 to 795 of the family's 1533-position model. The record is from RNAcentral.